This 67-nucleotide transfer RNA is filed under the name Marmota monax (woodchuck). RNAcentral describes it as "tRNA.Ala". The stretch from base 7 to 63 matches the Rfam family "tRNA", at positions 8 to 63 of the family's 71-position model. From Rfam's summary of the family: Transfer RNA (tRNA) molecules are approximately 80 nucleotides in length. Lineage: Eukaryota; Metazoa; Chordata; Mammalia; Rodentia; Sciuridae. The record is from RNAcentral.
GGAUUGUGGCUCAGAGGUAGAGCGCUUGCCUAGCAUGCAUGAGGCAGUGGGUUCGAUCCUCGCACCA